Molecule: ribosomal RNA, 255 nt
Filed under: uncultured bacterium
Lineage: Bacteria
Description: partial 16S ribosomal RNA
Rfam family: Bacterial small subunit ribosomal RNA
Source: RNAcentral
UACGUAGGGUGCAAGCGUUAUCCGGAAUUAUUGGGCGUAAAGAGCUCGUAGGCGGUUUGUCACGUCUGCUGUGAAAACUGGAGGCUCAACCUCCAGCCUGCAGUGGGUACGGGCAGACUAGAGUGCGGUAGGGGAGAUUGGAAUUCCUGGUGUAGCGGUGGAAUGCGCAGAUAUCAGGAGGAACACCGAUGGCGAAGGCAGAUCUCUGGGCCGUAACUGACGCUGAGGAGCGAAAAGCAUGGGGGAGCGAACAGG